This 301-nucleotide ribosomal RNA is filed under the name uncultured bacterium. RNAcentral describes it as "partial 16S ribosomal RNA". It matches the Rfam family "Bacterial small subunit ribosomal RNA", at positions 509 to 809 of the family's 1533-position model. The record is from RNAcentral.
CAGCCGCCGCGGGAAUACGUAGGUGGCAAGCGUUGUCCGGAAUUAUUGGGCGUAAAGGGCUCGCAGGCGGUUUCUUAAGUCUGAUGUGAAAGCCCCCGGCUCAACCGGGGAGGGUCAUUGGAAACUGGGAAACUUGAGUGCAGAAGAGGAGAGUGGAAUUCCACGUGUAGCGGUGAAAUGCGUAGAGAUGUGGAGGAACACCAGUGGCGAAGGCGACUCUCUGGUCUGUAACUGACGCCGAGGAGCGAAAGCGUGGGGAGCAAACAGGAUUAGAUACCCCCGUAGUCCCUGUCUCUUAUAU